AGGAAUCUACCUUGUAGUGGGGGAUAACCUGGGGAAACUCGGGCUAAUACCGCAUAAUCUCUUUGGAGCAAAGCGGGGGAUCUUCGGACCUCGUGCUAUAAGAUGAGCCUACGUCGGAUUAGCUUGUUGGUGGGGUAAUGGCCUACCAAGGCGAUGAUCCGUAGCUGGUCUGAGAGGACGAUCAGCCACACUGGGACUGAGACACGGCCCAGACUCCUACGGGAGGCAGCAGUGGGGAAUAUUGGACAAUGGGGGAAACCCUGAUCCAGCAAUGCCGCGUGUGUGAAGAAGGCCUUCGGGUUGUAAAGCACUUUCGGUGGGGAAGAAAUUCUCAAGGGUAAUAUCCUUGGGCGUUGACGUUACCCACAGAAGAAGCACUGGCUAACUCUGUGCCAGCAGCCGCGGUAAUACAGAGAGUGCAAGCGUUAAUCGUAAUCAUUGGGCGUAAAGCGCGCGUAGGUGGAUAUUUAAGUCGGAUGUGAAAGCCCUGGGCUUAACCUGGGAAUUGCACCCGAUACUGGGUAUCUUGAGUAUGGUAGAGGGAAGUGGAAUUUCCGGUG
RNAcentral lists this ribosomal RNA (560 nucleotides) under Coxiella burnetii. Its description in RNAcentral is "bacterial SSU rRNA". It matches the Rfam family "Bacterial small subunit ribosomal RNA", at positions 119 to 675 of the family's 1533-position model. Lineage: Bacteria; Pseudomonadati; Pseudomonadota; Gammaproteobacteria; Legionellales; Coxiellaceae. The record is from RNAcentral.